RNAcentral lists this long non-coding RNA (3170 nucleotides) under Homo sapiens (human). RNAcentral describes it as "non-protein coding lnc-ZEB1-12:2". The record is from RNAcentral. Lineage: Eukaryota; Metazoa; Chordata; Mammalia; Primates; Hominidae.
AGGCUCACGUGAUGGCCCGGGCGAGCUGGGCGGGCGCGGGUCUCCGGGACGGUCUGGGGUGGCUAGGGGGUGCGGCGCCCGGCGGGGAUCCGAAUAGGGGGCAGCCAGCGUACGGUGUGGGAACUCGGGCCGGCGCGGGAGCCUGCGGUCAAGGGGGCUCAGCACUUUGUAAACAAGGAGUGGGAAGCGUUAAAAAAACGCUCGUAGGGAAAACCAGGGAAGGGCGGACAUAGCGCCAGGGUGGCAGGAAUGGAGCCCGGGCAAAGACGGCCCUGCCGUGGGCCCUAGCGCUCCCUUCGUCGGCCCCUGGAGCUGCGGCCGGGCGUGGGUCAGUCGUUCACGGGCCCGGAAAUUCCACUGGGACACCCGAAAAAGUGCUGCACGCCGCCUGAGGGAGACGGAAAGGGACCCGGGGCACUGAGUCCAUUGCUGGGGUCGCCAGGGUACGUGGCAGGACCCGCUGUGCACACUCGGGACUGAGGAGACCCCUGGGACGCGGAGAGCCGCUCCAGGGCAGAACCAGUCCGUCAGCAUUUAGCCUUCCACGGGCCUGAGGGUGCGAGCCCUGCGGGGGCCACAGGGUCAUUGUCCAAAGUCAUCCCCGUUUGCACUGUGGCAGCACCGAACCCGGAAGUAACAGCUUUGGCAGGUCUUUGAUGGUGAUCCAGUGGCAGGAGGAGCUCAGCUGGAAUGGGAAUCAGGAAAGAGACCUGGCUUCUGCCAUUUAUUGGCACUUCACCCUUCUGAACCUCAGCUUUCAAAUGAGAGCUGGCUUCUAGGUCUAGAAUACAGUGAGUGUGAGAAAAAUAACUGAGAGGCGUUGGGACUUCAGUAACUACUCAUUCCUUAACCAGUUGUUGAUUGUGCCUGUUGUGCCAGGAUGAAAUAUUUGUUAAUAAUAGAGACCAGAAAGGAGAGGGGGGAAAAAACAAGCAUAUGUAUGAUUCAAGCAAUGAAGAGCUACUCUCCGGAGUUGGCUCUUUCCUGUGCUUCACUUCGUACUUGAAGAUGCCACAAUGCCUGGCUUCCUUAUCAACCAGCUGAACUCCGAAUUGUGCCUUACAGGAUGCGAAGAAUCCGGCGAGCUAAAGUGUUAAGAUAGUCUCCAUUUAGAAAGGAAAGAGGCUUACAAUGAGAAUUUUUGAAAAAUAAGCCUGAGACUGUGCUGUCUCUAUCGUUGCAUUUGCUUUUCACAGUCCUUGGCACCCACUGCCUUUUUGUCUCCCUCGGUUUCUAACCCGUUCUGUUUUCUUGCAUUUGUUCAGUAUAAGGAGUAUUUCCUGUAUGCUUUGGCAACUAUUUUCCAUAGACUCUGCUUGUGUUCUCCUUAUAAAACCAGAACAAGAGCAGUGCAAAAAAGAAAACGACCCUGAUAGGAAUGCGCUGAUAACCUUACUUUCCCUACUCUCCAAACCUGAAUUGGGCACCCUUGGUUUUAGCAAGAGAUAGAACUCAACAGUUUGCAUACACUUGCGGAUCUGCCUGUAACCCCACUUCCUAUUUCACAGCCUAAUCUCGGAUGAUACCACAAUGCCCACAGUAUGCUGAUCACCACCAACAGCAGAUGGAGGCGGAUAAAAAGAGCUUUCUCGCUAGUGUGUUGUUUUAAAAGAACCUGAUGGAGAGCUAUGAUCAUAUGUAACACUGCCUCUAGUUAGUUUUUAAAUAACACUUGUAGCAUAUGUCUGGCGCCUGUGCUCAGGAUUUCAACAGAUCAUUUUCAGGAUUUUGACAUUUAACUGGCUUCUUAUGAAGUAGCAGAGAGUUCCAAAAUGUAGAACUGAAAUAUAAGCUCCACACACAGGCAGAGAUUUGAGUCUGAUUUGUUUGUGUGUAUAUCCCAAGUGCCUAAAAGCACUUGGCAUACGGUAGAUGCACAAUAGAUUCCUGUUAAAUGUAUUUUUAGGUGAAAAUGUAGUCUGUACUUUGCAUAAACUUGUCCUACUUUCUUCCUAGUUCUUUAAUAAGUAACCUACUUUUCAUUAUAUAUUUUUAAAUGAAAAAACAAAAUUAUAUCUGGCAUCACUACUUUGGCUGGGCUAUAAAGAAACAGGAAUUUGGCAGUAUGUAUUAAAAUUACAAAUGCAUAUAUACUCGGAGCCUUGAAUUUCAUUUCCAGGGAUUUAUGCCACAGAUGUUUCCACACAUAAGAAAUAACAAGGUGUUUCUUAUUGUUGAGAAUAGCAAAAGAUUGGAAACAAGCUAAGUAUCUAUCAACAGGAUACUAGUUAAAUUAUGAUAGAGCCAUAUGUUUGAACAUUGUGCAGCUGUUAAUCAAAAAAACAGAAAGUUCUUUGUUUUAACAUUAAGAUCUCCAAGAUUUUUUUGUUAAGUGAAAAACACAGAAAUACGGUACAGAAUAUUGUAUUAAAUUGUAUAUGCAUUAAACUAGGACAAAGUAACAUGAGGUAUGAGAACACAGUAGAUGGAAAGCAUAAGAAAUAGACUUCAUUGUAUUCAUAUUUAAACUUUUUGAUAUUCAAAAUUUCAGAAUGUUUUAUCUAUUCAAAUAGUGAAAAUGUUUAAAAUUUUUCUGGCAUCUUUUUGUUGUUGUUGUUGUUAUUAAAACAUUCAGGCUUCUUCUGUUUUAUAAAAGUUUACCUGAGUAAAAUAAACAUAUCAAGGAGGCUGGGUGCAGUGGCUCAUGCCUAUAAUCCCAGCACUUUGGGAGGCUGAGGCGGGCAGAUUGCUUGAGCUCAGGAAUUCAAGACCAACCUGGGCAACAUGGCAAGACCCCAUCUCUAAUGAAAAUACAAAAAAAAAAAAAUAGCCAGGCAUGGUGGUGUGUGCCUGUGGUCUCAGCUACUCCAGAGGCUGAAGUAGGAGGAUCACUUCAACCCAGGAGGUGGAGGUUGCAGUUAGUCAAGAUUGUGACACUGCACUCCAGCCUGAGUAACAGAGUGAGACCAUGUCUCAAAUAAAUAAAUAAAUAAAUAAAUAAAUAAAAUCAGGUAAGCUAGUGCUCAUAGGCAAACUUUUGAAAACCUCAGAGUUUUUGUUCAGAUUGAAUGAUGUCUGUUUCUUACCGUAAUAAUUUAAAAUCCAGGUACAUUUAUUUUGAGGCUUAGUAUACAUUUUAUCAAAUGUAUAUAAAUUUUCAGAAGUACUCUAUUUUUCUUCAAGUUUAGUAGAGCCUUCCUUGAACAAGUUUUAACAAAUUGGAUCCUCCA